This 242-nucleotide ribosomal RNA is filed under the name uncultured bacterium. RNAcentral describes it as "partial 16S ribosomal RNA". It matches the Rfam family "Bacterial small subunit ribosomal RNA", at positions 1261 to 1500 of the family's 1533-position model. The record is from RNAcentral.
GGUGGAGCAAAACUCAAAAACUUAGUCUCAGUUCGGAUUGUAGGCUGAAACUCGCCUACAUGAAGCUGGAGUCGCUAGUAAUCGCGAAUCAGCAUGUCGCGGUGAAUACGUUCCCGGGCCUUGUACACACCGCCCGUCACACCAUGAGAGUUGGCAAUACCCAACGUACGUGAUCUAACCCGCAAGGGAGGAAGCGUCCUAAGGUAGGGUCAGCGAUUGGGGUGAAGUCGUAACAAGGUACC